Molecule: ribosomal RNA, 616 nt
Filed under: uncultured bacterium
Lineage: Bacteria
Description: bacterial SSU rRNA
Rfam family: Bacterial small subunit ribosomal RNA
Source: RNAcentral
CCUACGGGAGUCAGCAGUAAGGAAUAUUGGUCAAUGGGCGCAAGCCUGAACCAGCCAUGCCGCGUGCAGGAAGACGGCCCUAUGGGUUGUAAACUGCUUUUGAACAAGAGAAAACCUCGGUACGUGUACCGAGCUGAUAGUAUUGUUAGAAUAAGCAUCGGCUAACUUCGUGCCAGCAGCCGCGGUAAGACGAAGGAUGCAAGCGUUAUCCGGAUUCAUUGGGUUUAAAGGGUGCGUAGGCGGCCUGAUAAGUCAGUGGUGAAAUCUCUCAGCUUAACUGAGAAACUGCCAUUGAUACUGUCGGGCUUGAGUACAGAUGAUGUGGGCGGAAUAUGACAUGUAGUGGUGAAAUACUUAGAUAUGUCAUAGAACACCGAUUGCGAAGGCAGCUCACAAAACUGUAACUGACGCUGAGGCACGAAAGUGCGGGGAUCAAACAGGAUUAGAUACCCUGGUAGUCCGCACCGUAAACGAUGAUUACUCGUUGUUGGCAAUAUGACCGUCAGCGACCAAGCGAAAGCGAUAAGAAUCCACCUGGGGAGUACGCCGGCAACGGUGAAACGUCAAAGAGUAGUAGACGAGAGAGNGCGACGGACGACACGAGGGAGGUUAGAGG